GACGAACCGUGCGAACGUUAUUCGGAAUCACUGGGCUUAAAGGGUGCGUAGGCGGGCCGAGAAGCCAGGGGUGAAAGCCUCCAGCCCAACUGGAGAAGCGCCUUUGGAACUAGCGGCCUAGAGGGGUGCAGGGGCAUGCGGAACUCAGGGUGGAGCGGUGAGAUGCGUAGAUAUCCUGAGGAACACCGGUGGCGAAAGCGGCGUGCUGGACACCUUCUGACGCUGAGGCACGAAAGCCAGGGGAGCGAACGGG
RNAcentral lists this ribosomal RNA (253 nucleotides) under uncultured bacterium. Its description in RNAcentral is "partial 16S ribosomal RNA". It matches the Rfam family "Bacterial small subunit ribosomal RNA", at positions 524 to 776 of the family's 1533-position model. The record is from RNAcentral.